This 425-nucleotide ribosomal RNA is filed under the name uncultured bacterium. Its description in RNAcentral is "partial 16S ribosomal RNA". It matches the Rfam family "Bacterial small subunit ribosomal RNA", at positions 354 to 796 of the family's 1533-position model. The record is from RNAcentral.
GUGGGGAAUCUUGCGCAAUGGGCGAAAGCCUGACGCAGCCAUGCCGCGUGAAUGAUGAAGGUCUUAGGAUUGUAAAAUUCUUUCACCGGGGACGAUAAUGACGGUACCCGGAGAAGAAGCUCCGGCUAACUUCGUGCCAGCAGCCGCGGUAAUACGAAGGGGGCUAGCGUUGCUCGGAAUUACUGGUCGUAAAGGGCGCGUAGGCGGACAGUUUAGUCAGAGGUGAAAGCCCAGGGCUCAACCUUGGAAUUGCCUUUGAUACUGACUGUCUUGAGUACGGGAGAGGUGAGUGGAACUCAGAGUGUAGAGGUGAAAUUCGUAGAUAUUCGGAAGAACACCAGUGGCGAAGGCGACUCACUGGCCCGUUACUGACGCUGAGGCGCGAAAGCGUGGGGAGCAAACAGGAUUAGAAACCCUAGUAGUCC